GAUGAACGCUGGCGGCGUGCCUAAUACAUGCAAGUAGAACGCUGAAGGAAGGAGCUUGCUCUUUCCGGAUGAGUUGCGAACGGGUGAGUAACGCGUAGGUAACCUGCCUGGUAGCGGGGGAUAACUAUUGGAAACGAUAGCUAAUACCGCAUAACAGUAGAUGUUGCAUGACAGCUGUUUGAAAGGUGCAAUUGCACCACUACCAGAUGGACCUGCGUUGUAUUAGCUAGUUGGUGGGGUAACGGCCCACCAAGGCGACGAUACAUAGCCGACCUGAGAGGGUGAUCGGCCACACUGGGACUGAGACACGGCCCAGACUCCUACGGGAGGCAGCAGUAGGGAAUCUUCGGCAAUGGACGAAAGUCUGACCGAGCAACGCCGCGUGAGUGAAGAAGGUUUUCGGAUCGUAAAGCUCUGUUGUAAGAGAAGAACGAGUGUGAGAGUGGAAAGUUCACACUG
Molecule: ribosomal RNA, 459 nt
Filed under: Streptococcus australis
Lineage: Bacteria; Bacillati; Bacillota; Bacilli; Lactobacillales; Streptococcaceae
Description: bacterial SSU rRNA
Rfam family: Bacterial small subunit ribosomal RNA
Source: RNAcentral